This 460-nucleotide ribosomal RNA is filed under the name uncultured bacterium. Its description in RNAcentral is "partial 16S ribosomal RNA". It matches the Rfam family "Bacterial small subunit ribosomal RNA", at positions 338 to 795 of the family's 1533-position model. The record is from RNAcentral.
CCUACGGGAGGCAGCAGUGAGGAAUAUUGGUCAAUGGGCGGAAGCCUGAACCAGCCAAGUCGCGUGAGGGAUUAAGGCCCUGCGGGUCGUAAACCUCUUUUGCCGGGGAGCAGAGGUCCGGACGGGUCCGGGCCGGGAGAGUACCCGGAGAAAAAGCAUCGGCUAACUCAGUGCCAGCAGCCGCGGUAAUACGGAGGAGGCGAGCGUUAUCCGGAUUUAUUGGGUUUAAAGGGUGCGUAGGCGGGCAUUUAAGCCGGCGGUCAAAUGUCGGGGCUCAACCCCGGCCAGCCGUCGGAACUGGGUGCCUUGAGUGGGCGAGAAGUAUGCGGAAUGCGUGGUGUAGCGGUGAAAUGCAUAGAUAUCACGCAGAACCCCGAUUGCGAAGGCAGCAUACCGGCGCCCUACUGACGCUGAGGCACGAAAGUGCGGGUAUCGAACAGGAUUAGAUACCCCAGUAGUC